AACGAACGCUGGCAGCAGGCUUAACACAUGCAAGUCGAGCGCCCCGCAAGGGGAGCGGCAGACGGGUGAGUAACGCGUGGGAAUCUACCUUUUGCUACGGAAUAACUCAGGGAAACUUGUGCUAAUACCGUAUGUGCCCUUCGGGGAAGGAUUAUCGGCAAAGGAUGAGCCCGCGUUGGAUUAGCUAGUUGGUGGGGUAAAGGCCACCAAGGCGACGAUCCAUAGCU
RNAcentral lists this ribosomal RNA (227 nucleotides) under uncultured bacterium. RNAcentral describes it as "partial 16S ribosomal RNA". It matches the Rfam family "Bacterial small subunit ribosomal RNA", at positions 29 to 288 of the family's 1533-position model. The record is from RNAcentral.